This 207-nucleotide long non-coding RNA is filed under the name Sorghum bicolor (sorghum). Its description in RNAcentral is "long non-coding RNA (SBIC_LNC009224)". Lineage: Eukaryota; Viridiplantae; Streptophyta; Magnoliopsida; Poales; Poaceae. The record is from RNAcentral.
GCCCUCUACGCGACUCAAGGGAGGCGACGACCUGGGCCUCGCCGACCUAGGGGUCGACUGCGCCCCCCUCUUCAUGGCCUUCAGGGAUGCGAGCCCCACUGAAGCCACCUUGUGCUUUCGGCUGAUGAGGAAGAUAACACAAAUUAGAAGAAAGAGAAAAACAAAAAAUCAAAAGAAAGAUCAGAAAACCUACGCAUACCUCGCCUG